GAGUAGAGGCAGGUCGACACGACUAGCCACUCAACCACAGCAGUCAGUCCGCGGGCGGACAGUCAAGUCACUGAUGUGUUCCUAAAGCCGGUCUUUCAUUCAUCUGCUGGUCAGUUCUUACCACGUCCACACCAUCUUUGAAAAUUGGUGCCAUUUCUGUCAAGUCCUGGAUGACUGCUGACUUACAGUCGAGAAAAUUCAACAAUAAAAGACCUCCGAGAGACUUUAAACCAUUUGUAGUCAGCCAUCUUUGAACGAAAGAUUUAGCAAAAAAUUAGCGAGGUCGCCAAUUACUUCAGUCAACUCAGAAAGAAAAUGCACACCAGUCUUUGCACCGGGCUGAUCAAUAUACCCUGUCCUUGGCACCACGUCAAGUAGUUGGCUCCAAACAUGGCCACAACCUGCUUCAUACAUGGCCAAACUCCUGCUUCAUACAUGGCCACAACCUGCUUCAUACAUGGCCAAACUCCUGCUUCAUACAUGGCCAAACUCCUGCUUCAUACAUGGCCAAACUCCUGCUUCAUACAUGGCCACAACCUGCUUCAUACGUGGCCAAACUCCUGCUUCAUACAUGGCCAAACUCCUGCUUCAUAUAUGGCCAAACUCCUGCUUCAUAUAUGGCCAAACUCCUGCUUCAUACAUGGCCACAAUCCGAACAAGACAUGGCCACAACCCGAACAAGACUUGGCCACAAUUCGAGCAAGACUUGGCCCACCAACUGUACGACACUUGGGCGAGAAAAACAAUUGAAUAUGUAGGCCUGACGUUAAGUUAUGUAAUCCAAAGCGACCUAGUCACAUCGUUUGUGUUGUAAAAAAUGUAAAAAUAAAG
Long non-coding RNA from Physella acuta, 831 nucleotides. RefSeq lists it as uncharacterized. The record is from RefSeq and is a predicted model, not a curated record. Lineage: Eukaryota; Metazoa; Mollusca; Gastropoda; Physidae.